Lolium perenne is the source of this 1464-nucleotide non-coding RNA. The record is from RefSeq and is a predicted model, not a curated record. Lineage: Eukaryota; Viridiplantae; Streptophyta; Magnoliopsida; Poales; Poaceae.
CAGCAAAAUACUUAUAUCAGUAAAUGAUUCCUGAAACUUGUUUGAGUCACUGCCACUAUUAAUAAUUUACUGAAACAAUUCAUCCUUGCGUUUUUGGUUCAGAUAGUGCUAGGAAUUAUUUAGCCAGCUCUAGAUUUAGCGUGUUCAAUCGUUCUGAAUUAUUUACUGUCAAGCACAUGGGUUGACAGAAGGUAAAAUGAUUUUGUACAUGAAAAAGAAUUAAAUCCUACUUAUGAAAAUGAUGCAUGAAAACAAUACCAGUGGAGGAGAUCCCAGCAGUUGACUUGAAGCAGUGUGGAAGAAGGGCAUGAAGAUCAAGGAAGGGACCUGCUGGAUACAAUCGUGCCAGACCUGGUGUUCAUCAUCGAUGAUAAGUCGCACCAGGUGUUCACCCGGUACGGAAACUACUUGGUGGCCAUGCAUACUCACAAAGCAAAAUAUUUCCUAUGUGGUUAUGUUAUUUCCCCUUUUGGCUAACGACAACUUUUGUGUUCUUUUAAUUUUGUUUGCUGCUCAACUUGUGCGGGUAAAUUACUGUCAGGUGACCAACCUGGAUGUUAUUAUUCUUAUUUUUAGCAUAUGGUAAAUCUAUUUUCUCUUGCUAUGUGCUAUUGUGGAAUUAUACACGAUAUGCGUGUGUGUGUGUAGUCACCACUCUUGAGGAAAAUUUUCAGUUCCUUUAUUCAGAACCAUUGCUUCAUGUGGUUUACGAAUUCUUUGAAACAAUGUAACGUGCUUCAUUUUCCUUCUGUAUGCACUUAUUAUCAUUUUCUUGAGCUAUUGGAUGAUUAUUCAUACUAAGUUACUGUCUCAUCACGACUUAGUUUACAGUUUGAUCUUACUAUAAACUUCUUGCAUUCACUUGCCCUGUAUUUUGUGGGCCACGGCACGCGAGGAGAUUGGUAAGGCGUGAAUGGAGAUACAGGUUCUGGAUUCUUUUACAUAGUGCUAGGAAUUAUUUAGCAGCUCUACAUUUUAGUAUGCUCCUUCAUUCUAAAUUAUCUACUGUCGUGCACAUGUGUUGACAGAAGAAGAACAAAUAAUUUUGUACAGGAACAUAAUACUAACAAUCACAGCUACUCUCAAUUUCACUGCCGAUCUGCUCUUUUAGGUGCUGCCGAAUUGGCUCAAUUCUUCUCCACACGUCGUUGGAAGGCUUCGUUGCGCCUCGCCGAAAGGUUAUCAGCCUAAUGGAAGUUUUUUGAGAUCAAGACUAUCAAGAUCCUGCCCGGUGUCAUGCUGGAAGCUAUGUUGCAGAAGCUGCACCUAUUGGCGGUGCAGCAACCUAUUAGAAUUAGUUUGUUUGUGUGUGCAGUGGCCUCUAAAGAUUGAAUUGCAGCGAUCUUAUUUAGAUGAUACUUUUGCUAUUUUUAGCUUUAUUUCUAUUCGUCUUUGAAAAACUAUAAGAGUGUUAAUAUAUUUCGCUAUUUUCCUAAUUGUGUGUAAGCAUUCUUGUUCUGUUCA